Molecule: long non-coding RNA, 2007 nt
Filed under: Arachis ipaensis
Lineage: Eukaryota; Viridiplantae; Streptophyta; Magnoliopsida; Fabales; Fabaceae
Description: long non-coding RNA (AIPA_LNC001823)
Source: RNAcentral
AGAAAUUCUCAGAGCUUUCGGGAAAUGACAUAUUCAAGGGGGAUGUGCCGCCUUCAUCUGCCGAGAAAUCGCUGAGCGGGGCUAAACUACGAGAGAUGAGCGGCAGCAACAUCUUUGCCGAUGGGAAGGUAGAAUCUAGAGACUACCUUGGGGGCGUACGGAAGCCGCCGGGUGGGGAGAGCAGCAUUGCAUUGGUAUAAUUUGUUAGGGUCCUAACAGAGUCAUUCUCAUAUACUGUCCUUCGUUUUGUUAAUUUAGUGGGGAUGUGUUAUUAUAUAUAUUAUUUGACCAUGUAUUUUCUGGGUUUUGGUCAUUCGUGUCUUUAGGCUUCUUGAUGUCUUCUUUGACUGGGAAAAGGACCAUCUGCUAAUUGGUUGUAUGUCCAUAAUCCUGUGUUUUCCUCCGUGUUUGGUUUAAUGGAAGUUUGGACUGUUUACCUGAUUUAAUUAAAACCCGUAUCAAUGAUGGUCCUAACAUCAUCGUAACUUCUAAUUAUGUCAUGUCUCAGAAUGAAGAAAUCCCUUCACUUGUUUAUCUAUCCUUUCCACCAAUUUGGCCCAAAUCCUGGGGCUUGCAAGACAAUGAUAAGCCCCCCAAAAUAUUUGACGCCGCAGAGAUAUUUCGAUACAAAAUAAAGAAGGGCUAUUUCACUAAUUUCUUUUAAUUGAUACUUUGUGUAUGUGCUGCUAUAGCUCUGCUUGCUGCAUAUAUGAUUUGCAAACUAGUGUGAAGAAAUGGAUUUAAUCACAAUAAAUAUGAUGACAGAACUAUGUUUUUCCCAUAUAUGAAAUCCCAUAUCAAUUUGGUUUGUGGCUUUAUGUUUUGCGGCAUCUAACAUUGUUUACAUGUGGACUUUCCAGAAAGCCUUGUUCAGAGUAUAAGAUGAAGGAGAUCACAGGUAGUGGAAUUUUUGUGGGUGAAGGGGAAAGUGACGCAUCAGAAGCUGGCAGUGCCAACCCUUCUGCAAAUAAAACAGGAUUGCGGAUGUAUCAGGUAUCAUUUUAAUUUUUAUAUGAACAUGGAUAGUUGGUGAAUUUCACAAAUUAUAUGCGUUAUUGCGGUGGAUCCCUGCUAACAAGCACUGUGAUUGUUUUUGGAAAUUGCAGCAAGCAAUUGCAGGAAUCAGUCAUAUCUCCUUUGGUGAUGAGGAGGCUAUUUCUCCAAAAAAGCCCACUAGUUUACCAGAGGUGGCCAAGCAGCGGGAGCUAAGUGGAACUCUGGAAAGUGAAGACUCUCAACUGAAAAAGCAGCUUUCGGAUGCCAAGUGCAAGGAGCUUAGUGGUCAUGACAUAUUUGCUCCACCACCAGAAAUCAAACCCCGGCCAAUAACUCCUCGCAUAAUGGAGUUGAAAGGGAGCAUAGAUAUUGGGGAACCCGCUGCACAUGUAUGCACCACUAUAAGUUGCUAAACUUGAAUUCUUGGGGGGAAAUGUUUUUCAAAAUCUAGUUAGAUGUCUUUAAUAAAUUAUGGAUCAUACUUCAUCUAUGCAAAAUGAUUAGUGCUGUGAUUCCACAACAAAGGGAAACUGAGGUUAAUUGUGUCAUAGAAUGAAUAAUGGAGACUAGACAUUAUAAUUGACUUUUUGAGAUGCUAGUCCAUGUUGCUUGUGCAUCUGAAAUAUCUAAGUUGCUUGUGUUGUGGCUUUGUUUCUAACAGGGUGAUGGAAAGUCUAAUGGGGAACCACUUAAAACAGCAAAGAAGAUUUACAACCAGAAAUUCUCAGAGCUUUCGGGAAAUGACAUAUUCAAGGGGGAUGUGCCGCCUUCAUCUGCCGAGAAAUCGCUGAGCGGGGCUAAACUACGAGAGAUGAGCGGCAGCAACAUCUUUGCCGAUGGGAAGGUAGAAUCUAGAGACUACCUUGGGGGCGUACGGAAGCCGCCGGGUGGGGAGAGCAGCAUUGCAUUGGUAUAAUUUGUUAGGGUCCUAACAGAGUCAUUCUCAUAUACUGUCCUUCGUUUUGUUAAUUUAGUGGGGAUGUGUUAUUAUAUAUAUUAUUUGACCAUGUA